Triticum aestivum (bread wheat) is the source of this 4005-nucleotide RNA transcript. RefSeq lists it as uncharacterized. The transcript is spliced from 10 exons. NCBI's taxonomy places the organism in Eukaryota, Viridiplantae, Streptophyta, Magnoliopsida, Poales, Poaceae. The record is from RefSeq and is a predicted model, not a curated record.
UUGUCCAUGACGGGUGGGCCUCAAAUUUCUACGGGCGCAGUGUAUUGGUGCAUCCCGUGUGCGUCCUGGGUGAGAAAGUGAGAGUCGUGGGGCUGGGUCGUAGUGUGCAGUGAAAACCUAGCCCCAAUCCCGUUCGUCUCUGAGCAGCCAAUCCCUCCGCUUCUCGAGCCCCGCUCCCCUCCUCCCCUCGUCUCCACUGUGCCGCCUCCUCCCUUCACUUUUCUCCUCCUGUGCUCUCGCCCGGGCCAAGCCCAGCGACCUCCUGGCCAGCGUCUACUCCAUCUUGUUCUUCUCCGGCUGAACAGCGGCAAGCCCGCGGAUCUGGCGUCCCGAGGAGCAGCCGCCCGAUGCGGGAGGAGGUGGCGCCCAGGGAGAGGGGUGGCGGCGGCCCCUCUGCCUGCCAUCGAGUUGGCGUCUCGGGAGUGGAAGAAACGAGGAGCAGCCACCCGAUGGGGGAGGAGGUGGCGCCCAAGGAGAGGGGUGGCGGCGGCCCCUCUACCUGCCAUCGAGCUCUGGGAGAAACAUGGCAGAAGCAGGGAGCAUGGGAUUGGGGCUGUACAAACGACGCCGGUCGACGGUGGUGCUUGCUAGAGGAGAAGAUUAAUGGUCCAAAACGGUCAUUUCAUGAUUUACGAGCUUGCGGAGAGGGCAUUGGAUGAAUCCAUCAGUUCGAAGCUUAACUAAUAUAUUUCCUAGGGCUCGUGCAUGGCAUUGAGGAGCAUGGCAGGUGUUCAGGUCAACCUCUUCCAUAGUAGUAACAGGGGUGUCGGUGGUGACAAGGGAGGUGACAGGCAACCAAUAGAGCAAUGACAUUAACCGAGAUAGGUCUCUAAUCCUUUCUUUACUACUCGAUUCACUUCGCUCCUGCAUUGAUCUGUCAUGUUUUCCCAGGUCUAUCAUUGUGGUUGCAGAGUGGAACAGAGCAGUUGGGAAGCGGACAUGAGGAUUGAUGUGCAUAUCCAUUAGUACUUGCUCAAGUUAAAUAUCUAAAUUGUCAACAUGUUCAUGGUAGAGGGGAAGAUGCCGCCUGAAUCCUUUAAUUUGUAAGUACCCCCUGCUGCUUCUGUUUGAGUGUGCUUCAAAUUUGGAAGAUUCACAAAAUGUGGCCAGCUUGCUCUGGCGCUUUAAGAUUGGAAGAUGCAAAAAGGUGAAGUAAUUUAUUCAGUUGUUCUACUAUUACAAUAUUGCAUAAGUGAUGCAAAGUAAAUAAAUUAGUACACAUGGCAGGUCAUCUUUAUCUCAAUAUUCACAGAGUCUAAACACCAAUCUUGUCCUUUGUUUUUUGUGGUAUGUAUAGUGGUUUGCUUCCUAUAUAUUUUGUUUUCAUCCUGCCUUGUAUAAUUGUUGUUUCCCUUUAGGUUUGUCCUUUCUAUUGUCUGCUUGUGGUGCCUAUGUCCAAUUUGUUUGUCUUUCCUGUUGUAUCUUAUGCUAGAUUAGCUUGUUUAUGACCAUGCAUUCUCACUUCUGUUAAUGAAAGAAGAUGGUAUUGCAAGCAUCAUUCUGUGCAAGAAAAGGUUAUGUGCGUUGUGAUUCAGUUCCUUAUCAUGCCAAUCUAUCUUCUCGGGGUCCUUAUUUUCUUCUGUGUUCCAGGUUUUGUUGCUGUUCUGCCGGCCCGCCGCCUCGUGUGCUACCUUUCUUCCUGCCAAGCUUAUUUUGUGCCUGGAUUCUGGAAACGGCCAAGGACAAGCAACACAAGCGAAAGAUUGCUUCACUUAAUCUGGCGCUAUUAUUCUUCUGAAACAUGCUAACGAAAGAUUGGUACUCUUGGAUGAGAGAAAUCGGCAAAAAAGUUUGAGCCUCCUCUUAGAAGGUUCAAAACGGGACGCGGGCAACAUAGCUCUAGGAAAGUUGGUGCGGACGGCUCCGAAGUGGAGCCUAGAAGUGGCGAAUUUUCUUAAUACUGCUACAUUAAUCACCUUGAAAGUGGCAACAGUGACAACCUAAAGGAAGCUGAUACAACCGAAAGUGAUGUGCCGGUGGAUGAUAUGGACGAAUACAACGAGAAUAUUGCCAAGGCUAUUAUUGCAUCAAGGGCAAGACUUAUUACCGAUGCUGAGCGCAAAGUUGAAUAUAUGCUCAUGGAAUUAUGGGUGCCUCCUCCAAUGCUACCCAUGUGCAUCAUUUCCCUUAAUUCCAUCAUUAGGAUUAAGACUAUUGAGCAUGUGUUUACUUCUCAUUUUGUGGAUUAUGGGCGCAAAAUGAAGUGUGAUCCAUUUAUCAAGGAUGACUCUACUUGAUGUCGCCGCAUACCAGCAGAAGAUAAAGCUCAGCCAUAGGCUGGAAGACUGGGGCUAUAUAGAUUGCUUUCUAAAACCAAUGCAGAUCACCCUGCUGAAGAAGGAGAGGAAGUUAGAAAUCAGUUUUCAGUUUUACAGGUGCAAACUCAACUCAUUCCACUGUAAUACUGGACAUCCAGAUGUCCAGGAUGUCGGAAGCAUCGGCGUUGCAUUCAUGAAUCUGACAUACACAUGUAAGAAAUAUUCUCCCUCUUACAGCCUUUCCAAACAUUGGAAAUCACUAGACCGACCAUGAGGUUGAGAAUUCAGAUGAUGGCCUCUCAUGUAGAACUCAAUGCACAUGCAGUCAGAUACUACGGAUAAAGUUGAGUUGUAUGCUAGGAGUUGUGCUUUUAUCAAGUUUACUUAUUUACUUAUGAUCUAAUCAUCUCUCUAGAAAGAGUAUCUUCUGAAGAAGCUAUCGACCAUGAGGAUUUCUCUUUUUCGCCUUUGUAUUGGAAAGAUAGAGAUGGAAACCUAAAAAAACCAUAGUAUUAGCUUUUUUAUCCAAUGGAAAUUCAUACCGCGUGAGCCCUGAGGUUGAGAAUGGGAAAAUGACUGAACUUGUUCACAACACUAGCAGUAAUCUUGACCUUUAUUUAACUGGUUUUGUAUUCUCGACCUGUUUGCAUAUUUUUAUAGAUGAAUUAGUCCCAGGUUCACUUGCUACAUGGCUCGAGCAUGCUACUCCUAACCUACGUGAUUGUUGGUCUCACUUUAUUGAUGGAUGGGGGAGGUUGAGAAUUUUCUUGUGUUUGUUUGUAUUUUCUUUCCAGAUAAUCUGCAUGGUGCUACUUAAAAUUUAUGAAUGGUUUGUCGGUAUGUUACUGGGAUUUAGAGGCAGAAACGUCUUACUCCUGACUACAUGGAGUUCUCAAUAAAUUAUUCUUGUCAUUUUUUUCGAGGUGAUGUUCGCUCCGGUUCCUCCUCUACCCAGCAGUAUGGGUAACUCAAAGCAUAGAUCUGAUUGUGCUUCUUGCAGUCUAUGCUUCCUAUCUCCGGGUCAUCCGCCUCUCAAAGACUACUCCGAGGAGAAUCGAAAUAACAGUCAGUCGUGGAUGGAUUAGAAUGGAAUAUUUAUUACCUUGGUGAUAACGUCAGGCGGGCGUUGAAUCGUGGACAUGUCCCCCAUGGAUCUGGGCGGCUGGGCGAACAGAUGGACCGAGCUCCCUCCUCCGCCCAAGAAGCAGCCGAGCUCCCUCCUCUGCCCAAGAAGCAGCCGACCUCCCUCCUCCGCCCAAGAAGCAGCUGAGCUCCCUCCUCCGCCCAAGAAGCAGCCGGGGAAGCUGCAUCGACGGCAGGAACAACAUGGCGGAUCCAAAUCGCCAGUCUCCUCUGUCCAGAGCUGAACUGAGUGGCUGCCCCCAUGAGAGGACACGGGCACAACCAAACCCACACACACCAGACACGCGUGCAUGGUGGCUUAUCCGGUGGGAGACUACCGCUUGCUCCCGCUGAACCAUUAUGUCCCACAACGCUUGCACCUGUCCACCCGUGAACGUUGUGUCCAACUGCCGCUUGCACCUGCCCACCCGUGAACUGCCGCUUGCACCCGUGAAUGUUGUGGCCCACCCGGAAAAUGCAUAUCUGAGCGCUCGGAGGUGCCAGCCAUCUACUCCAAGGGGAGAAAAAAAACUCUACUCCCAAGGAGUUUUUCUUUUCUUUCUAAAGGGUCUAUUAUUCUCAGGUACUCUCUCCGCUUCAUAAUAUAAAAUACUUUUUGACACUA